This 497-nucleotide ribosomal RNA is filed under the name uncultured bacterium. Its description in RNAcentral is "partial 16S ribosomal RNA". It matches the Rfam family "Bacterial small subunit ribosomal RNA", at positions 28 to 507 of the family's 1533-position model. The record is from RNAcentral.
GAUGAACGCUGGCGGCGUGCCUAAUACAUGCAAGUCGAGCGAACAGACGAGGAGCUUGCUCCUUCGACGUUAGCGGCGGACGGGUGAGUAACACGUAGGUAACCUACCUAUAAGACUGGGAUAACUUCGGGAAACCGGAGCUAAUACCGGAUAAUAUUUCGAACCGCAUGGUUCGAUAGUGAAAGAUGGCUUUGCUAUCACUUAUAGAUGGACCUGCGCCGUAUUAGCUAGUUGGUAAGGUAACGGCUUACCAAGGCAACGAUACGUAGCCGACCUGAGAGGGUGAUCGGCCACACUGGAACUGAGACACGGUCCAGACUCCUACGGGAGGCAGCAGUAGGGAAUCUUCCGCAAUGGGCGAAAGCCUGACGGAGCAACGCCGCGUGAGUGAUGAAGGUCUUCGGAUCGUAAAACUCUGUUAUUAGGGAAGAACAAACGUGUAAGUAACUGUGCACGUCUUGACGGUACCUAAUCAGAAAGCCACGGCUAACAACGUG